Molecule: long non-coding RNA, 1266 nt
Filed under: Phasianus colchicus (ring-necked pheasant)
Lineage: Eukaryota; Metazoa; Chordata; Aves; Galliformes; Phasianidae
Description: lncRNA (ENSPCLG00000001031.1)
Source: RNAcentral
GCAAAAUUCAUUGACGACUGAGAUGUUCAGUCUCUCCAAUCGGGCAUUUAAAAACAAAUGUGCUCUCAGUAGUCCUGGCUGUCAUUGUCCUUUGCUUCAGAUGUUUACUAUUGUAUGGGAUAAUGAUAGCAGCUCAGCUCAGAAUUAUUGAGAGGAAAAGCACUCGGAUGCUGUAAUAAUUUUUUCAUAGAAACAGUAUGAAGUCACUAGUAUUGCACCUGGUGCAAAGGCCAGUAGUGCAAUGUAAGUAGGGUUUGGUCUGUGUGUGUGGAGUGAGCAUUUGGGAAAGGCGCAGCUUCCCCAUGGACAGGCAUGUGUGAAGGGCUUUGCCCAAGGAAGCUUUCUGGGGUUUUAAUACUGUGAUAGAAACAGGGGUGCUCGUACUACAACUGGAAGAGAGGGAAGGGCCUCAAGUUGUAUCGGGGAGGUCCAGACUGGAUAUUAGGAAGUAAUUCUCCAAGAGAUUGGUUGGGCACUGCUACAGGCUGCCCAAGGAGGUGGUGAGGUCACCAUCCCUGGAAGUGUUCAAGAAACAUGGAGAUAAAGUACUUAGAAACAUGGUUUAAUGGGCAAUAUUUGUGGUUAAUGGAUCAGUGGACAUGGUGAUCUUAGAGGUCUUUUCCAACCUUAAUGAUUCUGUGAUUCUAUACAGUGGUAAUGCAUUAGUUUUAGCAGCAAGGAGGGCUGUGCAAGUGCUCAGUUGAGUUUCAGAUCUGAAUGAAAUUAAAUGCAAAAAGCCAACACAAACAUGUACAUCUUAGGAUUUAGAAGCUGUUCUCAAAGAUUGGAAUGAGCCUGUGGUUGUAGUGAUAGCAGAUAGUAAUGUAUCUGUGAGAACUGACACCUUGAGGAAUUAUCCACUGUGUGAGGGCUCAGAAGAGUGUGCACUGAGCUCUGUUCACAUCUGCUGGCACUGUUUGGUACUUAUUCCCACAGGCAAUGUUGUACAGUUUGGAAGUCAGGAAAAGAGAAGCAAAGUGUAUCUGCAAAACAGCAGCGUUGUGCUGGAAAACAGUUCAGUGCGUUUCCCUCUGAAAGGCAUUCAGACCACUGACUUGUGGAGUGCCAGUUCCUCUCUAGUACAAGUUUGACACCAUGCAAUGUUUCAGACCAACUCUUUGGAGGCAGUUGUGUUAGCAGUCUGAUGGCUCAUGCUCUGGGAGAAGUGGUGAGUACUGACUGCCUGACUUUGUACAAGGGAAAGCAAUCCUCAAUCAGAAAGCAUUGUUUGUUAUUGUUUUUUGUGUUUUUUUUUUUUUAAGUAAC